UGGGGAAUAUUGCACAAUGGGCGCAAGCCUGAUGCAGCCAUGCCGCGUGUGUGAAGAAGGCCUUCGGGUUGUAAAGCACUUUCAGCGAGGAGGAAGGUGGUGAGCUUAAUACGCUCAUCAAUUGACGUUACUCGCAGAAGAAGCACCGGCUAACUCCGUGCCAGCAGCCGCGGUAAUACGGAGGGCGCAAGCGUUAAUCGGAAUUACUGGGCGUAAAGCGCACGCAGGCGGUUUGUUAAGUCAGAUGUGAAAUCCCCGGGCUCAACCUGGGAACUGCAUUUGAAACUGGCAAGCUAGAGUCUCGUAGAGGGGGGUAGAAUUCCAGGUGUAGCGGUGAAAUGCGUAGAGAUCUGGAGGAAUACCGGUGGCGAAGGCGGCCCCCUGGACGAAGACUGACGCUCAGGUGCGAAAGCGUGGGGAGCAAACAGGAUUAGAUACCCUGGUAGUCCACGCUGUAAACGAUGUCGAUUUGGAGGUUGUGCCCUUGAGGCGUGGCUUCCGGAGCUAACGCGUUAAAUCGACCGCCUGGGGAGUACGGCCGCAAGGUUAAAACUCAAAUGAAUUGAC
This 567-nucleotide ribosomal RNA is filed under the name uncultured bacterium. Its description in RNAcentral is "partial 16S ribosomal RNA". It matches the Rfam family "Bacterial small subunit ribosomal RNA", at positions 355 to 914 of the family's 1533-position model. The record is from RNAcentral.